Molecule: long non-coding RNA, 2025 nt
Organism: Calidris pygmaea (Spoon-billed sandpiper)
Lineage: Eukaryota; Metazoa; Chordata; Aves; Charadriiformes; Scolopacidae
Source: Ensembl
GGCGGCUACAGGGCAGGAGUGUGGGUACUGGCAGAGCUGUGGAAGGAAGGUGGGGGGUUGUCCCAGGGCUGGACAACCAGGGUGCUGCAGGGAGAGAGCGGGGAGCGCUGGCAGAGCUGUGCGGGAAGCUCAGGGCUUGGCUAGUUGCGGGGUGGAGGGCAGGAGCGGAAGAGCCUGGCAGAGUUGUUUGAAGAAUCACAGCAAGGAAGAAAAUUGAAGGUAAAAAAAGGCACACUAAGACCUCCCCUUCUCCCCCCGCCCCCCCCUCCACCCCCCUUCCACAUGCGUAGCUUACGGUUCUGUGGUGGGAGAGGUAUUUCCAGGAAGGAAGAAGAGGAGAAGGAGGAAGACGGUUGGUUUGCUGGGCAGCCCGUCUUUCCCCAUGGUGCAGAGCAGGUCGUGGUCAUAUCAUAUUGAAAUGGAGCAAGAUACCAGGUGGGGUACAGGCAUCUCAUGACGGUCCUUCUUCUGGCUUCGAGGUUGGUGUUCAAGGCAGGUGGAAUGAAGUUGGAGCCAGGCUCUUCUCAGAGGUGCACAGUGGCAGGAGCAGACAGAAGGAAAAACCGCUUCCCCGGAGGGUGAUGCAACAACAGAUCAGUUGCCCAGAGGUGCCAUGGGAUAGCCAUCCCCAGAGACCAUCCAGACUUCAUGGCACAAGGCCAUGUUCAAGACUGCCAAUAGAGAAAAAGAUCGUGCUUACAAGGGAUAGAUAUUUCAAAUAUUUUUCCCACUUAUAUUUGACGUUCAUUUAGCUACAAAAAAGUGAAACCCCAAAUCAGCUGACUGGGGACUCAGCUGAUAAGUAUUUGUCCGGAUUCUUGAGAUGGAGGAUGCUACAGGAAAGCAAGACAAGAAGUCCUAAUGGAGCAUGAGGCAAGGAAAUCAGAUAUUCUCAUGUUUAACCCUUUCACCUGCAUCUCUACUUUUUUUCUGUUGCACCUUGUUAGGCAGGACAGAGCUGGUUGUGUUUGGCCCUUCAGAUCAGGGAAAGGAGUAUGGCCCAUGAUGCUGUAACACAGCUGGAGAACAUGCCAUUUUUUGGGACCCUUCUGAACACAGCAGCCCACUACCAAGCCUGAUUAUGCCAUUGCAGUUCCAUCCUGUUUUGGGGAUACCCUCUGCUGGCCACAGAUGGUGGGAAGGGAACAGGAGAAGACCUUGUCUAAGAGUUCAGGGGCUGUGAGGAGAGAACCAGCUGUGCAUCCCACGCUCAGAGCACAGGACUUCCCACAGGAGCUUAACCACGGCACAUACCUUGGUCACUAAGUGUGGAAACACCUUGUCUUGACAGGAGGGACAGUGAGGGUUACCAGGGGUGCCUAGAGCUAGUCAGUUCCAGUAAAGUGAACUGGAGAACAUGUGGCACGGUUAUGCAGUUGCCCCCGGUAAUAACCCAGCCUUCACCUCACUGUGGGUACGGAGCCAAAGAGUGGGAGGCUCUAAAAAAUGUGCAAGGUUAGCACUUUAGUAGCAUGCACGUAGAGUCCUGUCAAUACACAGAACGGUGAUUUUUAUUGCCUCCACCUCUGCCUGCCUUGUUCAUAUAUACCCUCCCUUCACUCUCAAAUAAGAUUUUUCAAAUCUCCCAGCUGUCAGGUUAUAUACAUAGUGUGUCAACAGGGGGUCCAGGAGUCCUGCUGAAAGCACGUUCUUAAGUGGGGUACUGGUUUCCACAGCAGGAACACUGGUGUGGCAGGAAGGGGAAGAGGAGGAUUCCAGGGCAGGAUCAAAAGGCAUCAGGAGAUCAGUGUAUUAGGCUUGCAAGAGGAUCAGAAAGAGGAAGAGUGAGAAGUUUCCUUGAAGGAGGUCUGUGGGUCCUGUAUUCAAUGUAAUGCCUUGCUUGUAGGAUUUUCUUGACCCUCAAAAGAUGACCCUUUAGAAGGCUGAACAGAAAGAAGCUUUCUCUUGCUAUUGAGCUACAGGAGUAGCUGGCACAAUGUUGCUUCUCCACUUGAAAAAUUUUUGAGAAAAUUUUUCACUGUGACCCUGAAUAAAAAAAUAAAAUGUACAUGAAUGAUGUUCCUC